RNAcentral lists this ribosomal RNA (478 nucleotides) under uncultured bacterium. RNAcentral's name for it is "bacterial SSU rRNA". It matches the Rfam family "Bacterial small subunit ribosomal RNA", at positions 30 to 506 of the family's 1533-position model. The record is from RNAcentral.
AUUGAACGCUGGCGGCAGGCCUAACACAUGCAAGUCGAGCGAGAAAGCACUUCGGUGCGAGUACAGCGGCGGACGGGUGAGUAACGCGUAGGAAUCUACCUGGUAGUGGGGGACAACUCGGGGAAACUCGAGCUAAUACCGCAUACGCCCUUCGGGGGAAAGCGGGGAUCUUCGGACCUCGCGCUAUUGGAUGAGCCUGCGUCGGAUUAGCUUGUUGGUGAGGUAAAGGCUCACCAAGGCGACGAUCCGUAGCUGGUCUGAGAGGAUGAUCAGCCACACUGGGACUGAGACACGGCCCAGACUCCUACGGAGGCAGCAGUGGGGAAUAUUGCGCAAUGGGCGAAAGCCUGACGCAGCCAUGCCGCGUGUGUGAAGAAGGCCCUAGGGUUGUAAAGCACUUUCAAUAGGGAGAAAAGGCUCACGGUUAAUACCCGUGAGAGUUGAUGUUACCUAUAGAAGAAGCACCGGCUAACUCCGU